UAGACUUAGUGGCGGACGGGUGAGUAACGCGUGGAUAACCUGCCUUAUACAGGGGGAUAACGGAGAGAAAUUUCCGCUAAGACCGCAUAAGACCACAGCACCGCAUGGUGCAGGGGUAAAAUAUUUAUAGGUAUAAGAUGGAUCCGCGUCCGAUUAGCUGGUUGGUGAGGUAGAGGCUCACCAAGGCGACGAUCGGUAGCCGGCCUGAGAGGGUGAACGGCCACAUUGGGACUGAGACACGGCCCAAACUCCUACGGGAGGCAGCAGUGGGGAAUAUUGGACAAUGGGGGAAACCCUGAUCCAGCGACGCCGCGUGAGUGAAGAAGUAUUUCGGUAUGUAAAGCUCUAUCAGCAGGGAAGAAAAUGACGGUACCUGACUAAGAAGCCCCGGCUAACUACGUGCCAGCAGCCGCGGUAAUACGUAGGGGGCAAGCGUUAUCCGGAUUUACUGGGUGUAAAGGGAGCGCAGACGGCAAUGCAAGUCUGAAGUGAAAGGCGUGGGCUCAACCCAUGAACUGCUUUGGAAACUGUAUAGCUUGAGUGUCGGAGGGGUAAGCGGAAUUCCUAGUGUAGCGGUGAAAUGCGUAGAUAUUAGGAGGAACACCGGAGGCGAAGGCGGCUUACUGGACGACAACUGACGUUGAGGCUCGAAGGCGUGGGGAGCAAACAGGAUUAGAUACCCUGGUAGUCCACGCAGUAAACGAUGAAUACUUGGUGUUCGGGGAGGUAAACUUUUCGGUGCCGCAAGCUAACGCAUUAAGUAUUCCACCUGGGGAGUACGUUCGCACGAAUGAAACUCAAAGGAAAUGACGGGGACCCGCACAAGCGGUGGAGCAUGUGGUUUAAUUUGAAGCAACGCGAAGAACCUUACCAAAUCUUGACAUACUCUUGAAUAGUUUUGUAAUGAGACUAGACCUUCGGGACAAGAGAUACAGGUGGUGCAUGGUUGUCGUCAGCUCGUGUCGUGAGAUGUUGGGUUAAGUCCCGCAACGAGCGCAACCCUUGUCGUCAGUAGCCAGCAGUAAGAUGGGCACUCUGACGAGACAGCCGGAGAUAAUCCGGAGGAAGGUGGGGAUGACGUCAAAUCAUCAUGCCCCUUAUGAUUUGGGCUACACACGUGCUACAAUGGCGUAAACAAAGUGAAGCAAAGCCGCGAGGUCAAGCAAAUCACAAAAAUAACGUCUCAGUUCGGAUUGUAGUCUGCAACUCGACUAUAUGAAGCUGGAAUCGCUAGUAAUCGCAGAUCAGAAUGCUGCGGUGAAUGCGUUCCCGGGUCUUGCACACACCGCCCGUCA
RNAcentral lists this ribosomal RNA (1295 nucleotides) under uncultured bacterium. Its description in RNAcentral is "bacterial SSU rRNA". It matches the Rfam family "Bacterial small subunit ribosomal RNA", at positions 87 to 1399 of the family's 1533-position model. The record is from RNAcentral.